This 74-nucleotide transfer RNA is filed under the name Alosa alosa (allis shad). RNAcentral describes it as "tRNA-OTHER". It matches the Rfam family "tRNA". Rfam says of the family: Transfer RNA (tRNA) molecules are approximately 80 nucleotides in length. Their secondary structure includes four short double-helical elements and three loops (D, anti-codon, and T loops). Lineage: Eukaryota; Metazoa; Chordata; Actinopteri; Clupeiformes; Clupeidae. The record is from RNAcentral.
GCAGCCGUGGCCUACUGGUUAGGGCUUCGGACUUAGAACCGGAAGGUUGCAGGUUCGAACCCUGACCAGUAGGA